GGGUUGUGAGGUUAAGCGACUAAGCGUACACGGUGGAUGCCCUGGCAGUCAGAGGCGAUGAAGGACGUGCUAAUCUGCGAUAAGCGUCGGUAAGGUGAUAUGAACCGUUAUAACCGGCGAUUUCCGAAUGGGGAAACCCAGUGUGAUUCGUCACACUAUCAUUAACUGAAUCCAUAGGUUAAUGAGGCGAACCGGGGGAACUGAAACAUCUAAGUACCCCGAGGAAAAGAAAUCAACCGAGAUUCCCCCAGUAGCGGCGAGCGAACGGGGAGCAGCCCAGAGCCUGAAUCAGUGUGUGUGUUAGUGGAAGCGUCUGGAAAGGCGCGCGAUACAGGGUGACAGCCCCGUACACAAAAAUGCACAUACUGUGAGCUCGAUGAGUAGGGCGGGACACGUGGUAUCCUGUCUGAAUAUGGGGGGACCAUCCUCCAAGGCUAAAUACUCCUGACUGACCGAUAGUGAACCAGUACCGUGAGGGAAAGGCGAAAAGAACCCCGGCGAGGGGAGUGAAAAAGAACCUGAAACCGUGUACGUACAAGCAGUGGGAGCACGCUUAGGCGUGUGACUGCGUACCUUUUGUAUAAUGGGUCAGCGACUUAUAUUCUGUAGCAAGGUUAACCGAAUAGGGGAGCCGAAGGGAAACCGAGUCUUAACUGGGCGUUAAGUUGCAGGGUAUAGACCCGAAACCCGGUGAUCUAGCCAUGGGCAGGUUGAAGGUUGGGUAACACUAACUGGAGGACCGAACCGACUAAUGUUGAAAAAUUAGCGGAUGACUUGUGGCUGGGGGUGAAAGGCCAAUCAAACCGGGAGAUAGCUGGUUCUCCCCGAAAGCUAUUUAGGUAGCGCCUCGUGAAUUCAUCUCCGGGGGUAGAGCACUGUUUCGGCAAGGGGGUCAUCCCGACUUACCAACCCGAUGCAAACUGCGAAUACCGGAGAAUGUUAUCACGGGAGACACACGGCGGGUGCUAACGUCCGUCGUGAAGAGGGAAACAACCCAGACCGCCAGCUAAGGUCCCAAAGUCAUGGUUAAGUGGGAAACGAUGUGGGAAGGCCCAGACAGCCAGGAUGUUGGCUUAGAAGCAGCCAUCAUUUAAAGAAAGCGUAAUAGCUCACUGGUCGAGUCGGCCUGCGCGGAAGAUGUAACGGGGCUAAACCAUGCACCGAAGCUGCGGCAGCGACGCUGAUGCGUUGUUGGGUAGGGGAGCGUUCUGUAAGCCUGUGAAGGUGUGCUGUGAGGCAUGCUGGAGGUAUCAGAAGUGCGAAUGCUGACAUAAGUAACGAUAAAGCGGGUGAAAAGCCCGCUCGCCGGAAGACCAAGGGUUCCUGUCCAACGUUAAUCGGGGCAGGGUGAGUCGACCCCUAAGGCGAGGCCGAAAGGCGUAGUCGAUGGGAAACAGGUUAAUAUUCCUGUACUUGGUGUUACUGCGAAGGGGGGACGGAGAAGGCUAUGUUGGCCGGGCGACGGUUGUCCCGGUUUAAGCGUGUAGGCUGGUUUUCCAGGCAAAUCCGGAAAAUCAAGGCUGAGGCGUGAUGACGAGGCACUACGGUGCUGAAGCAACAAAUGCCCUGCUUCCAGGAAAAGCCUCUAAGCAUCAGGUAACAUCAAAUCGUACCCCAAACCGACACAGGUGGUCAGGUAGAGAAUACCAAGGCGCUUGAGAGAACUCGGGUGAAGGAACUAGGCAAAAUGGUGCCGUAACUUCGGGAGAAGGCACGCUGAUAUGUAGGUGAAGUCCCUCGCGGAUGGAGCUGAAAUCAGUCGAAGAUACCAGCUGGCUGCAACUGUUUAUUAAAAACACAGCACUGUGCAAACACGAAAGUGGACGUAUACGGUGUGACGCCUGCCCGGUGCCGGAAGGUUAAUUGAUGGGGUCAGCGCAAGCGAAGCUCUUGAUCGAAGCCCCGGUAAACGGCGGCCGUAACUAUAACGGUCCUAAGGUAGCGAAAUUCCUUGUCGGGUAAGUUCCGACCUGCACGAAUGGCGUAAUGAUGGCCAGGCUGUCUCCACCCGAGACUCAGUGAAAUUGAACUCGCUGUGAAGAUGCAGUGUACCCGCGGCAAGACGGAAAGACCCCGUGAACCUUUACUAUAGCUUGACACUGAACAUUGAGCCUUGAUGUGUAGGAUAGGUGGGAGGCUUUGAAGUGUGGACGCCAGUCUGCAUGGAGCCG
RNAcentral lists this ribosomal RNA (2171 nucleotides) under Escherichia coli. RNAcentral's name for it is "partial 23S ribosomal RNA". It matches the Rfam family "Bacterial large subunit ribosomal RNA", at positions 1 to 2188 of the family's 2925-position model. Lineage: Bacteria; Pseudomonadati; Pseudomonadota; Gammaproteobacteria; Enterobacterales; Enterobacteriaceae. The record is from RNAcentral.